ACACAGACAACACUUCAUGUUGUAGUGAUAACAGAACAGAGAAUAGUACUCACUGGUGUCCAGCACUCUUCCACACACAUCUCUGGAAGAAAAGAAAAAGGUAAGAAGUACACUCACCUGUGUGUGUGUGUACAGGUACUCACCUGUGUGUGUGUGUGUGUGUGUGUGUACAGGUACUCACCUGUGUGUGUGUGUGUGUGUGUACAGGUACUCACCUGUGUGUGUGUGUGUGUGUGUGUGUGUACAGGUACUCACCUGUGUGUGUGUGUGUGUGUGUACAGGUACUCACCUGUGUGUGUGUGUGUGUGUGUGUGUACAGGUACUCACCUGUGUGUGUGUGUGUGUGUACAGGUACUCACCUGUGUGUGUGUGUGUGUGUGUGUGUACAGGUACUCACCUGUGUGUGUGUGUGUGUGUGUGUGUGUGUGUACAGGUACUCACCUGUGUGUGUGUGUGUGUGUGUGUGUACAGGUACUCACCUGUGUGUGUGUGUGUGUGUGUGUGUACAGGUACUCACCUGUGUGUGUGUGUGUGUGUGUGUGUACAGGUACUCACCUGUGUGUGUGUGUGUGUGUGUGUGUACAGGUACUCACCUGUGUGUGUGUGUGUGUGUGUGUGUGUACAGGUACUCACCUGUGUGUGUGUGUGUGUGUGUGUGUGUGUACAGGUACUCACCUGUGUGUGUGUGUGUGUGUGUGUGUGUGUGUGUGUACAGGUACUCACCUGUGUGUGUGUGUGUGUGUGUGUACAGGUACUCACCUGUGUGUGUGUGUGUGUGUACAGGUACUCACCUGUGUGUGUGUGUGUGUGUGUGUGUGUGUACAGGUACUCACCUGUGUGUGUGUGUGUGUGUGUGUGUGUGUGUGUGUGUGUACAGGUACUCACCUGUGUGUGUGUGUGUGUGUGUGUGUGUGUGUGUGUGUGUACAGGUACUCACCUGUGUGUGUGUGUGUGUGUGUGUGUGUGUGUGUGUGUGUGUGUGUACAGGUACUCACCUGUGUGUGUGUGUGUGUGUGUGUGUGUGUGUGUGUGUGUGUGUGUGUACAGGUACUCACCUGUGUGUGUGUGUGUGUGUGUGUGUGUGUGUGUACAGGUACCCACCUGUGUGUGUGUGUGUGUGUGUGUGUGUGUGUGUGUGUGUGUGUGUGUGUGUGUGUGUGUGUGUGUGUGUGUGUGUGUACAGGUACCCACCUGUGUGUGUGUGUGUGUGUGUGUGUACAGGUACUCACCUGUGUGUGUGUGUGUGUGUGUGUGUGUGUGUGUGUGUGUGUGUGUGUGUGUGUGUGUGUGUGUGUACAGGUACUCACCUGUGUGUGUGUGUGUGUGUGUGUGUACAGGUACUCACCAGUGUGUGUGUUGUUCUCUAGGUACACAGUGACUAGGUAG
RNAcentral lists this long non-coding RNA (1386 nucleotides) under Oncorhynchus kisutch (coho salmon). RNAcentral's name for it is "lncRNA (ENSOKIG00005008263.1)". Lineage: Eukaryota; Metazoa; Chordata; Actinopteri; Salmoniformes; Salmonidae. The record is from RNAcentral.